GCGCGGGUGGCGGAAUCGGUAGACGCGUCAGCUUGAGGGGCUGGUGGGGCUUAGCCCCGUGGAGGUUCAAAUCCUCUCCCGCGCA
This 85-nucleotide transfer RNA is filed under the name Candidatus Ryanbacteria bacterium CG10_big_fil_rev_8_21_14_0_10_43_42. RNAcentral describes it as "tRNA-Leu". It matches the Rfam family "tRNA". Rfam says of the family: Transfer RNA (tRNA) molecules are approximately 80 nucleotides in length. Their secondary structure includes four short double-helical elements and three loops (D, anti-codon, and T loops). Lineage: Bacteria; Candidatus Ryaniibacteriota. The record is from RNAcentral.